This 460-nucleotide ribosomal RNA is filed under the name uncultured bacterium. RNAcentral describes it as "partial 16S ribosomal RNA". It matches the Rfam family "Bacterial small subunit ribosomal RNA", at positions 338 to 795 of the family's 1533-position model. The record is from RNAcentral.
CCUACGGGAGGCUGCAGUGAGGAAUAUUGGUCAAUGGACGGAAGUCUGAACCAGCCAUGCCGCGUGCAGGAAGACGGCUCUAUGAGUUGUAAACUGCUUUUGUACAAGGGUAAACCUGAAUACGUGUAUUCAGCUGAAAGUACUGUACGAAUAAGGAUCGGCUAACUCCGUGCCAGCAGCCGCGGUAAUUAGGAGGAUCCAAUCGUUAUCCGGAUUUAUUGGGUUUAAAGGUUGCGUAGGCGGAUUGAUAAGUUAGAGGUGAAAUGUCCGAGCUUAACUCGGGAACUGACUCUAAUACUGUUGAUCGAGAGAGUAGAUGCGGAAGGCGGAAUGUAUGGUGUAGCGGUGAAAUGCUUAGAGAUCAUACAGAACACCGAUUGCGAAGGCAGCUUACCAAUCUAUAUCUGACGUUGAGGCACGAAAGCGUGGGGAGCAAACAGGAUUAGAUACCCUAGUAGUC